Molecule: non-coding RNA, 856 nt
Organism: Doryrhamphus excisus (bluestripe pipefish)
Lineage: Eukaryota; Metazoa; Chordata; Actinopteri; Syngnathiformes; Syngnathidae
Source: RefSeq, a predicted model, not a curated record
AUAAGUAUAAUUUUAUAACUUUUAUAACCCGCAAGGCAUGCUGGGUAAGUUCCCAGCAUGCCUUGCGGGUUAUAAAAGUAUAAGUAUAUUAUGACUUCCUGUGCAACUUCACCAACCCAUGAUGUGGUUUUAAAGGGGAUUGUUCUGUGUGAAAAUAGGGUAAAUAGGUGAGAUGCUGCUUUCUCCACAGGCGGUAAGGCAGAUUCUGCGGCCUGAGAACCGAUAUUGGUUUCUAAAAAUGUUGGACUGGAACUGAUUCUGAAGCAGAUGGCUCCUCUCAAACAGGCACUGAGGUGAAGAGCAGUUCAAGAGUCUUGGAAGAACCCCCCACCAAAGAUGCUAACCUCAUGAGGAACCUUUUCCACCGUGCACAAUUCUCACCCCUUGCAGGUGACGCUCCACCGGUGACGUGCAAAAUAAAAACACAAAAACAAUAAGAGGGCGGGUUGAGGGGGGAGGGGUUAAAUGCUGACAUUGAAAAGCGAGAACCAAUAAGGAAACAGCAAACAUUAAAAGCAUAACAUUUCAUUUGACGUCCAUCAAAUGAGUAAAAGCUAGAAUGCAACACCUGGUUAAAAUAGAUGUUAAACUAGUUUGGCAACUAAUAGAAGGGGCUACCAAAAAAUAAAAAUAAAAUGGCACAUAUUAGCUGAGAUUUAAGAUGAAAACCACCAAAAAAAAUAAAAAAAAGACGUGCAGCUGGGGUAUAUAAGGUUUACUCCUUUUCCUAACAAAUUAACUAUUUCUACAAAGUACAAUGAAAGCAGAAAGGAAGUCUUACUGUAUAUCAUGGCACAGGAGGGAAAUAUACUAAAGGAGACAAUUGAUGAUAAAAAAAAAAAAAAUACAGGAAAAA